Molecule: long non-coding RNA, 477 nt
Organism: Homo sapiens (human)
Lineage: Eukaryota; Metazoa; Chordata; Mammalia; Primates; Hominidae
Exons: 3
Source: RefSeq, a predicted model, not a curated record
GAAAUGGCAAAGGAGAAGAAGUUCCCAUCACGGUUACUGAAGUAUACUAGUGAAGAUUUUAUGUAGCUGGGGCUACAGCAUUCUUUACAACAAUAAAAGAACAGAUUUGAGAAAGGCAAACAGGUUCAAAUGUCCAUGCUAAUACUAACCAGCUGAGUAACCUUAGACAAAUUAUUUAACUUGUUAUGAGCUUCCACUCUGCAAUCAACAAAAUGCAGCUGCCAUGAUGCAAAGAAGUCCAAGCUAUCUUGCUAAAAUUAGGAGCCACACAGAACGGCCCUGGAAGAUGAAAUACCACAUACAGAGAGAGGCCACGUGAAGGAGAACCAAAGCACCCAGCCAAGAGUCAGCACCAAAACACCAAUCCAGUGAGACAAGCCAUGUUGGAGCUUCCAGCCCAGCCCAGCCACCGUCUUUAAUCAGCUGCAUGAAUAACAGCCAUCACUAUAUGUAACAAGACCACCAAUCAACCCACUG